CAGAACCUCAAAACAUUUCUUAGCUCCUAACAACUUUGCUAGCCCCCUUUUUUGCUUUCUUUUUCUUUUCUUUUUAUAUUUUAUUUCUUUUCCUUUUUUUUUUUCUUUUUUUUUUUUUUUAGAUGGGGGCCAAGACUUUUCAUAACUUGAGCUAGAGGUUUUUCUACUUAUCCCAAUAAGACAAUUCACUUAACACAAAGAGUCAUUUCUUUUCCUUUUUCAUUGCUCCCCAAUCAUAAUCACAACUCUCACC
RNAcentral lists this long non-coding RNA (253 nucleotides) under Brassica napus (rape). RNAcentral's name for it is "long non-coding RNA (BNAP_LNC018415)". The record is from RNAcentral. Lineage: Eukaryota; Viridiplantae; Streptophyta; Magnoliopsida; Brassicales; Brassicaceae.